GACGAGGGAUCCUAGCGUUGUUCGGAAUCAUUGGGCGUAAAGCGGGGGCAGGUGGCUCUAUAAGUCAGGUGUGAAAUCCCAGGGCUCAACCCUGGAAGUGCAUUUGAUACUGUAGAGCUUGAGUGCUGGAGAGGUUAUUGGAAUUCCUGGUGUAGUGGUGAAAUACGUAGAUAUCAGGAGGAACAUCGGUGGCGAAGGCGGAUAACUGGCCAGACACUGACACUCAUCCCCGAAAGUGCGGGUAUCAAACAGG
Molecule: ribosomal RNA, 253 nt
Filed under: uncultured bacterium
Lineage: Bacteria
Description: partial 16S ribosomal RNA
Rfam family: Bacterial small subunit ribosomal RNA
Source: RNAcentral